AUUGAACGCUGGCGGCAGGCCUAACACAUGCAAGUCGAGCGGAUGAAGGGAGCUUGCUCCUGGAUUCAGCGGCGGACGGGUGAGUAAUGCCUAGGAAUCUGCCUGGUAGUGGGGGAUAACGUCCGGAAACGGGCGCUAAUACCGCAUACGUCCUGAGGGAGAAAGUGGGGGAUCUUCGGACCUCACGCUAUCAGAUGAGCCUAGGUCGGAUUAGCUAGUUGGUGGGGUAAAGGCCUACCAAGGCGACGAUCCGUAACUGGUCUGAGAGGAUGAUCAGUCACACUGGAACUGAGACACGGUCCAGACUCCUACGGGAGGCAGCAGUGGGGAAUAUUGGACAAUGGGCGAAAGCCUGAUCCAGCCAUGCCGCGUGUGUGAAGAAGGUCUUCGGAUUGUAAAGCACUUUAAGUUGGGAGGAAGGGCAGUAAGUUAAGACCUUGCUGUUUUGACGUUACCAACAGAAUAAGCACCGGCGAACUUCGU
RNAcentral lists this ribosomal RNA (483 nucleotides) under uncultured bacterium. RNAcentral describes it as "partial 16S ribosomal RNA". It matches the Rfam family "Bacterial small subunit ribosomal RNA", at positions 30 to 506 of the family's 1533-position model. The record is from RNAcentral.